RNAcentral lists this ribosomal RNA (253 nucleotides) under uncultured bacterium. RNAcentral's name for it is "partial 16S ribosomal RNA". It matches the Rfam family "Bacterial small subunit ribosomal RNA", at positions 524 to 776 of the family's 1533-position model. The record is from RNAcentral.
UACGUAGGGUGCAAGCGUUGUCCGGAAUUAUUGGGCGUAAAGAGCUCGUAGGCGGUCUGUCGCGUCUGCUGUGAAAACUCAGGGCUUAACCCUGAGCUUGCAGUGGGUACGGGCAGACUAGAGUGCGGUAGGGGAGACUGGAAUUCCUGGUGUAGCGGUGAAAUGCGCAGAUAUCAGGAGGAACACCGGUGGCGAAGGCGGGUCUCUGGGCCGUAACUGACGCUGAGGCACGAAAGUGUGGGGAUCAAACAGG